GAUGAACGCUGGCGGCGUGCCUAAUACACGCAAGUCGAGCGAACAGACGAGGAGCUUGCUCCUCUGACGUUAGCGGCGGACGGGUGAGUAACACGUGGAUAACCUACCUAUAAGACUGGGAUAACUUCGGGAAACCGGAGCUAAUACCGGAUAAUAUAUUGAACCGCAUGGUUCAAUAGUGAAAGACGGUUUUGCUGUCACUUAUAGAUGGAUCCGCGCCGCAUUAGCUAGUUGGUAAGGUAACGGCUUACCAAGGCAACGAUGCGUAGCCGACCUGAGAGGGUGAUCGGCCACACUGGAACUGAGACACGGUCCAGACUCCUACGGGAGGCAGCAGUAGGGAAUCUUCCGCAAUGGGCGAAAGCCUGACGGAGCAACGCCGCGUGAGUGAUGAGGGUCUUCGGAUCGUAAAACUCUGUUAUUAGGGAAGAACAAAUGUGUAAGUAACUAUGCACGUCUUGACGGUACCUAAUCAGAAAGCCACGGCUAACUACGUG
This 497-nucleotide ribosomal RNA is filed under the name uncultured bacterium. Its description in RNAcentral is "partial 16S ribosomal RNA". It matches the Rfam family "Bacterial small subunit ribosomal RNA", at positions 28 to 507 of the family's 1533-position model. The record is from RNAcentral.